This 202-nucleotide unclassified non-coding RNA is filed under the name Hevea brasiliensis (rubber tree). The record is from RNAcentral. Lineage: Eukaryota; Viridiplantae; Streptophyta; Magnoliopsida; Malpighiales; Euphorbiaceae.
AGAAGCUAAAGAACCAGGAUUUUUCAUGGAAAGAACAGUACAUGAUUCAGAUAACUCAGGAAUGCAAACAGGAAGUUCAAAUAAUGAAAUGACAAUGACAAUGUUAGAUCCUCGAUAGUAAUUGAUCUUUCCACGAUAAAGUGAAAUAUCAAUUAUUUUUUUAUGACGACAUUGAAGCGCUUGAGCAUCACCUCAGAAAAAA